RNAcentral lists this small RNA (100 nucleotides) under Chryseobacterium profundimaris. Its description in RNAcentral is "Flavo-1 RNA". It matches the Rfam family "Flavo-1 RNA". Lineage: Bacteria; Pseudomonadati; Bacteroidota; Flavobacteriia; Flavobacteriales; Weeksellaceae. The record is from RNAcentral.
UCUUAGCCACGAUUGUCGCGACAUCCUUUUUAUUUUUCGGGGGCGCGGCGCAGCCGCGCCCCCGAAAAAUAAAAAGAUACAGCAGAAAGCGUGAAAAAGC